Molecule: long non-coding RNA, 1054 nt
Filed under: Calidris pugnax (ruff)
Lineage: Eukaryota; Metazoa; Chordata; Aves; Charadriiformes; Scolopacidae
Description: lncRNA (ENSCPUG00000008943.1)
Source: RNAcentral
AAAAAUAAAAAGAUAAAGACAGAUAAGUCUUCUGUGACCAGCGGAGCUCGGGGCUGUUGUGACCUGUGGCUGUAGAUACAGGAAGUCAUUUUCCUCCUGGAUCCUCUUUUAAAUGUAGGAGCAAAAUAAAAGUCUGGUGCCUGUCGUGGGGCGCGUGGGAGGUUCUGACGGGUCAUCUGAAAGUCUGGACGAGAGGAUGGAGAUAGCCCCAUACCUAGGCACAGCAAGAGCUUUUCAAAGGAUGGGUGAUUUUUGUUGCAUAUAUAUGAAUUCAUAACUCCUAACUGUUAAUGUUUGUAGGACGUUACCACCAAUACACUGACGUCUGAGGCGGAAUUGCGUAACUUCUAAGCGGCAUUUCCUUUCUUAACAGUCAAAUAAUGCGGUGGGAUGUCCCUGUUCUCCUGCUCUGAACAGUGUGUUCACAGAAUCACAUAGAAAAACCUCUUCGUUUCUGUUUCCAUUACAUCAGCUACAAGAAGUCCAUGCAGAAGAUAUGGCGCUUUAAUAAUUAACCAGAGAACUGUCUAGAUUGAUUAAAAACCCCAGACAAAUGGUAUAUAUAUGAAACAAAUUAACCCUGCUGAGAUAAUAAAUCAAAACAAUUUAAUCUCCUGAACUUUACCACCUUCUUUACUACAGAUCAAGUGGCGUAUAAGUUUAUCUCUACAUGUGCUGUGUUUGGGUUUAUCUCUAGUGUGGUAUUUUCUAUGAUUACCAGGUAACUUUCAGCCUUUAUUUUACAGUUCAAGCAACAGGGCUUUCACUGCUUCCUCAGGAGACUUCAUUAACAGAUCCCCAGCAGGAUUCCCAAUAGUGCAGAGGAAAAACUGUGAAGUAAUCAGCAUUCCAAAAAUCCCACAGCGGACUCUGGAGGGAAGCACGCAAACAAAUAAGUUGUGCUGUCAGAGAUGAUCCGGUGUCCUGGGGGAUUUUAAAGCUGUUCUUUUAGUGAAAAAUGUGACUGGCAAGAAGUUUGCUUUUUACUACCUUCAAGUUUCCCUCCUUCCUUUGGCCACCAGGUAAGAAGAUGGUGCAGGAUGUAGAAACACAC